UGUGGACGGACGCCACCAAGGCGACGAUCAGUAGCCGGCCUGAGAGGGCGGACGGCCACAUUGGGACUGAGACACGGCCCAGACUCCUACGGAAGGCAGCAG
RNAcentral lists this ribosomal RNA (102 nucleotides) under uncultured bacterium. Its description in RNAcentral is "partial 16S ribosomal RNA". It matches the Rfam family "Bacterial small subunit ribosomal RNA", at positions 253 to 354 of the family's 1533-position model. The record is from RNAcentral.